AACGAACGCUGGCGGCAUGCCUAACACAUGCAAGUCGAACGAGACCUUCGGGUCUAGUGGCGCACGGGUGCGUAACGCGUGGGAACCUGCCCUUAGGUUCGGAAUAACUCCCCGAAAGGGGUGCUAAUACCGGAUAAUGUCUUCGGACCAAAGAUUUAUCGCCUUUGGAUGGGCCCGCGUUGGAUUAGCUAUUUGUUAGGGUAAAAGCCUACCAAGGCGACGAUCCAUAGCUGGUCUGAGAGGAUGAUCAGCCACACUGGGACUGAGACACGGCCCAGACUCCUACGGGAAGCAGGAGUGGGGAAUAUUGGAAAAUGGGCGAAAGCCUGAACAAGCAAUGACGCGUGAGUGAUGAAGGCAUUAGGGUAGUAAAGCUCUUUUAACCGGGAUGAUAAUGACAGUACCGGGAGAAUAAGCUCCGGCUAACUCCGUG
This 433-nucleotide ribosomal RNA is filed under the name uncultured bacterium. RNAcentral's name for it is "partial 16S ribosomal RNA". It matches the Rfam family "Bacterial small subunit ribosomal RNA", at positions 29 to 507 of the family's 1533-position model. The record is from RNAcentral.